UAGUCUACGCCGUAAACGAUGGAUACUAGUUGUUUGAUCUUCGGAUUGAGUGACUAAGCGAAAGUGAUAAGUAUCCCACCUGGGGAGUACGUUCGCAAGAAUGAAACUCAAAGGAAUUGACGGGGGCCCGCACAAGCGGUGGAGCAUGUGGUUUAAUUCGAUGAUACGCGGGGAACCUUACCAGGGCUUAAAUGUAGUCUGACAGCUUCAGAGAUAGAGUUUUCUUCGGACAGAUUACAAGGUGCUGCAUGGUUGUCGUCAGCUCGUGCCGUGAGGUGUCAGGUUAAGUCCUAUAACGAGCGCAACCCCUGUUGUUAGUUGCCAGCGAGUAAUGUCGGGAACUCUAGCAAGACUGCCGGUGCAAACCGCGAGGAAGGUGGGGAUGACGUCAAAUCAUCACGGCCCUUACGUCCUGGGCCACACACGUGCUACAAUGGUAGGUACAGAGAGCAGCUACCUGGUGACAGGAUGCUAAUCUCUAAAGCCGUUCUCAGUUCGGAUCG
This 503-nucleotide ribosomal RNA is filed under the name uncultured bacterium. Its description in RNAcentral is "bacterial SSU rRNA". It matches the Rfam family "Bacterial small subunit ribosomal RNA", at positions 791 to 1300 of the family's 1533-position model. The record is from RNAcentral.